This 270-nucleotide ribosomal RNA is filed under the name uncultured bacterium. Its description in RNAcentral is "partial 16S ribosomal RNA". It matches the Rfam family "Bacterial small subunit ribosomal RNA", at positions 29 to 278 of the family's 1533-position model. The record is from RNAcentral.
AAUGAACGCUGGCGGCGUGGUUAAGACAUGCAAGUCGAACGGUUUUUAUUGAAGGGCAACCGGAGUAUAAAAGCAGUGGCGAACGGGUGCGUAACACGUGAACAAUCUACCUCCAAGUGGGGAAUAGCUCGCCGAAAGGCGAAUUAAUACCGCAUGUGGUGGUUUCUCGCAUGAGAAGCUUACUAAAACNGGGACCGCAAGGCCUGUUGCUAGGAGAGGAGUUCGCGGCCUAUCAGGCAGUUGGCGAGGUAACGGCUCACCAAGGCUAAG